UCAUAGUGAUCCGGUGGUUCUGAAUGGAAGGGCCAUCGCUCAACGGAUAAAAGGUACUCCGGGGAUAACAGGCUGAUACCGCCCAAGAGUUCAUAUCGACGGCGGUGUUUGGCACCUCGAUGUCGGCUCAUCACAUCCUGGGGCUGAAGUAGGUCCCAAGGGUAUGGCUGUUCGCCAUUUAAAGUGGUACGCGAGCUGGGUUUAGAACGUCGUGAGACAGUUCGGUCCCUAUCUGCCGUGGGCGCUGGAGAAUUGAGGGGGGCUGCUCCUAGUACGAGAGGACCGGAGUGGACGCAUCACUGGUGUUCGGGUUGUCAUGCCAAUGGCACUGCCCGGUAGCUAAAUGCGGAAGAGAUAAGUGCUGAAAGCAUCUAAGCACGAAACUUGCCCCGAGAUGAGUUCUCCCUGACUCCUUGAGAGUCCUGAAGGAACGUUGAAGACGACGACGUUGAUAGGCCGGGUGUGUAAGCGCAGCGAUGCGUUGAGCUAACCGGUACUAAUGAACCGUGAGGCUUAACCUUACAACGCCGAAGCUGUU
RNAcentral lists this ribosomal RNA (538 nucleotides) under Escherichia coli. RNAcentral's name for it is "partial 23S ribosomal RNA". It matches the Rfam family "Bacterial large subunit ribosomal RNA", at positions 2410 to 2925 of the family's 2925-position model. Lineage: Bacteria; Pseudomonadati; Pseudomonadota; Gammaproteobacteria; Enterobacterales; Enterobacteriaceae. The record is from RNAcentral.